Molecule: non-coding RNA, 81 nt
Filed under: unclassified sequences
Description: DUF3800-I RNA
Rfam family: DUF3800-I RNA
About the family: Actinobacteria, Firmicutes, Fusobacteria, Proteobacteria (1 example), Tenericutes (2 examples). Terminator (Clostridia)
Source: Rfam by way of RNAcentral
UAAUAGUGCAGGUCAUUGCACGCUGUAUACUCGUGCAAUCGAAUUAACGUUUAAGCGGUAUGUAAUAUCGUCGACCACGAG